GUGCUCUUGAUUUGGCAGCACAAAUACUAAAAUUAGAAUGACAAAAAGAUUAGCAUGGUCCCUGCAAAAUUGUAAAGAAUUCCCAAUUUCU
Molecule: small nuclear RNA, 91 nt
Filed under: Microtus ochrogaster (prairie vole)
Lineage: Eukaryota; Metazoa; Chordata; Mammalia; Rodentia; Cricetidae
Source: RNAcentral